This 4204-nucleotide long non-coding RNA is filed under the name Heterocephalus glaber (naked mole-rat). RNAcentral describes it as "lncRNA (ENSHGLG00100051110.1)". Lineage: Eukaryota; Metazoa; Chordata; Mammalia; Rodentia; Bathyergidae. The record is from RNAcentral.
GGCUCCUUUGUCGAAGAUGAGAUGGCCGAGUGUGUCUGGCGUUGUUUCUGCAUCUUCUAAUCUGUUCCACUGGUCCUCAAGCCUGUUUCUUUGUCAGUACCAUGCUGUUUUUAUCACAGUAGCUUUGUAGUAGAGUUGCAGGUUGGGGAUUGUGAUACCCCCUGCCAUGUCUCUGUUACCUAGAAUUGCUUUUGCUAUUCUGGGUCUCUUCUUAUUCCAAAUGAACUUUUGGAUUGUUUUCUCAAGGUCCAUGAAGUAUGCUGCUGGGAUCUCAAUUGGAAUUGCAUUAAAUCUAUAUAGCAGUUUUGGAAGUAUGGCCAUUUUCACUAUAUUAAUCUUUCCUACCCAGGGGCAGGGGAUGUGUGUCCAUUUUCUGAUAUCAUCUUCAAUCUCUCUUUUCAGAGUGCCAUAGUUUUCAGAGAAGAGGUCUUUGAUUUCUUUCGUUAGGAUGAUUCCUGGGUAUUUCAGUUUUUUGGAUGCUAUUGUGAAAGGAAUUAUUUGUCCUAUUUCUCUCUCAGUGAGUCUGUCAUUCGUAUAGAGGAAAGCUAUUGAUUUUUGUGUGUUGAUCUUGUAACCAGCUACUUGACUGAAUUUGGUUAUUAAGUCUAGAAGACUUUUGGUGGCAUUCUUGGGGUCUUCUAUAUAGAUUAUCAUAUCAUCUGCAAAUAAUGACAAUUUGACUUCUUCAUUUCCUAUCUUUAUUUCUUUUAUUUCUUUCUCUUGUCUAAUUGCCAUGGCUAAUGUUUCCAGAACUAUAUUGAACAAGAGUGGUGAUAGUGAACAUCCUUGCCUUCUUUCUGAUUUAGUGUGAAGGAUUUCAAUUUUUGACCCUUUAGUAUGAUAUUGGCUGUUGGUGUUUCAUAGAUGGCUUCUAUCAGUUUGAGGUAGAGACCAUCUAUUCCAAUUUUUUGUAGGGUUUUUAUCAUAAAUGCAUGUUGGAUUUUGUCAAAUGCUUUUUCUGCAUCUAUGGAGAUAAUCAUAUGGUUUUUGUCCUUGGCUCUAUUGAUAUAGUGUAUUACAUUAAUUGAUUUUCGUAUAUUGAACCAUCCCUGCAUCCCUGGGAUGAAUCCCACUUGAUCAGGGUGUAUGAUCUUCUUGAUGAUCUUCUGCAUUCUGGUUGCCAGUAUCUUACUAAGGAUUUUUGCAUCUAUGUUCAUUAGUGAGAUUGGCCUAUAGUUCUCUUUUUCAGUUGGGUCUUUCUCUGCUUUGGGGAUCAAGGUGAUGCUUGCUUCCAGGAAUGAAUUUGGGAGUAUUGCUUCCCUUUCAAUUUCAUUGAAGAGUUUAAACAGUAGUGGCAGCAGUUCCUCUCUAAAUGUCUUGUAGAAUUCAGCAGUGAAGCCAUCAGGGCAUGGGCUUUUCUUAGGUGAUAAGUUUUUAAUUACAUUUUCAAUUUCAUUGGUUGAUAUUGGGUUGUUCAGAAUUUUUAGGUCUUCUUCGUUCAACUUUGGUAAUUCCUAUGUAUCUAGGAAUCUGUCCAUUUCUUCUGUGUUGUCCAUCUUAUUGGCAUAUAGGUUCUGGAAGUAGGUAUUGAUGAUCCUCUGGAUUUCUUCUGGGUCUGUUGUAGUUUCACCCUUUUCAUUCCUAAUUGCAUGGAUUUGGGCCUUUUCUUUCCUUUUUCUGACAAGGUUGACUAAAGGUUUGUCAAUUUUGUUGAUUCUUUCAAAGAAGCAACUCUUGGCUUCAUUGAUUUUUUGUAUCAUUCUCUUAGUCUCCAUUGCAUUGAUUUCUCCUCUGAUCUUUAUCAUUUCCUCCCUUGUAUGAGCUUUGGAGUUGUCCUGCUCUUCUUUUCUUAGAAGCUUGAGGUUCAGCAUCAGGUUGUUUAAUUGGGCUCGCUCUGUUUUCCUAAUAUGCGUAUUCACUGCUAUGAAUUUCCCUCGUAAGACUGCUUUCAUUGUGUUCCAUAGAUUCCGAUAUGUUGUAUUGUCAUUGUCAUUUAAUUGAAGGAACUAUCUGAUUUCUUCUUUAAUUUCCUCUGUGACCCAUUGGUUAUUCAGAAGUGUGUUGUUCAAGUUCCACAUGCUUAUGAAAUUUUUUGAGUUUCUUUUGCUAUGGAUGUCCAAUUUCAUCGCACUAUGGUCUGAUAAUAUACAGGGGAUAACUUCAAUUCCUUUGCACUUACUUAAACAUGUUCUAUGUGUGAGUAUGUGGUCUAUUUUGGAGAAUGAGCCAUGUGCAGCUGAGAAGAAUGUGUAUUCUGAUUUUGUGGAGUGGAAGGCUCUGUAAACAUCUGUUCAGUUCAUUUGUUCAAGAGUUCGAUUGAGUUCUUGUAUUUCAGUACUUAUUUUUAGUCUAGUUGAUCUAUCUGUGACAGUGGGGUGUUGAGGUCCCCCACUACAAUUAUAUUAGUGCAUAUAUGACUUUUCAUGUCCGUUAGUAUUUGUUUUAUAUAGUUGGGUGCACUAGUGUUUGGUGCAUAGAUAUUUAUGAUUGUCAUCUCUUCCUCUUGGAUUCUUCCCUUUACAAGGAUGUAGUGUCUUUCUUCAUCGCUCUUAAUUAGUGUUGGUUUGAAAUCUACUUGAUCUGCCAAGAGGAUAGCUACUCCUGCUUUUUUGGGGGUUCCUGUCACAUGGGAUAUUGUUUUCCACCCUUUCACUUUCAGUCUAUGAGUUUCCUUUUGAAUUAAGUGUGUUUCUUGCAUGCAGCGUAUUGUUGGAUUUUGCUUCUUGACCCAUUCUGCCAGUCUGUUUCUUUUGAUUGGUGAAUUGAGACCAUUAACGUUGAUGGUUAUAACUGAAACGUAUUGACUUGUCAUUGCCAUGACUUUUUCUUUUUGUUGGGUUCUCCCCCUUUACAUUUAAUUUCUUGACAUGCCAGAUGGGUUCACUCUGCUUUGCUUCCUGGGGUUGUGAUCCUCAAUGUCUGUUCCUAGGAUAUUGUGUAAAAUUCUUUGGAGUGCUGGUUUUGGUAUUCACGAAGUUCCUAAGGUGCUCUUUGUCAUGAAAGUAUCUUAUUUCUCCACCCAUUUUGAAAGAUAGUUUUGCAGGGUACAUCAAUGUGGGUUGGAGGCUGUUUUCUUUUAGGGCUUGGAAUAUGUCACUCCAAGCUCUUCUUGCCUUGAGGGUUUGUGUUGAGAAGUCUGCUGUGAUUCUGAUGGGCUUUCCUUUGUAUGUGAUUUAUUUCUUUUCUCUGACUGCUUGGAGAACUUUGUUCUUCUGUUGAGUUUCUGGAAUCUUAACAAUUAUAUGCCUAUGUGUAGAUUUUUUUUGAUCAAGGCUAUUUGGAGUCCUAUAUGCCUCACUUAUCUGUAUGUCAAGCUCUUUUCCCCUGCUUGGGAAGUUUUCUGCCAUUAUUUCUGUGAAGAGAUUUUUUAUGUCAUCUCCACUCUCUCCUAUUUCUUCAUUGUGCCCAAUCAGUCUUACAUUAUUCUUUUUUGCGUCAUCUAGCAGCUGCUGGAUUGAUUUCUCCUGUUCCCUUAUAAUUUUGAAGCAAUUUUUCUUUUCCUGGUCACUAAUUGCAAUCUUAUCUUCUAUAUCUGAAAUUCUGUCCUCACACUGGCUCAUUCUGCUGUGUAGACUUUCAAUGGAGUUUUUCAUGUCCUGGAAAUCUAUUUGCAUGUCUUUUAUGGAUUCCAUUUGUUUCUUAUGUUGGGAUUCCAUCAUGUUCCUCAGCUCCUCUCUAGAUUUAUUAAUCAUGUCUUGCACUAAGGGCACAAUUUCUCCUGUUAUCUGAGAAAUUAUUUCUGAUUUCAUUUUUUCCAGAUCCCCUUUUGUUGCCAGUUCAGUGGGUCCAGGUGUUUGAGUAUCAGAGGGUUCCAUCUCAUUUCCCUUUGGGGUUGCUGUAGGUGAUCUAGAAGUCUGGUUUUGAGACUUAUUUAUGUGUUUUCUCAUUUCGACUGGGGUGGGGGGGCUGUUAGUGCCUGCACGGAUUACCUCCUCUGAGCUGGGUGAGGUGGGACAAGGACCGGGAGCAACGGUAGGGAUGGUGACCCAAAAGCCCUUUCCUGUGGGCUGGGAACAGCUGGAGGGAUGGUGGCUGGGAAACCCCUUCCUCUGGGCCAGGAGCAGCAGGACAGAAGGUGGCCCAAAAGCCCUUUCCUCUGGGUUGGGAGCAGCGGGAGGGAUGGUGAGCAGGAAGCCCCUUUCUCUGGACCAGGAGCAGUGGAACGACAGCUCAGAAGUCCCUACCUCUGGGCCAGGAACAGUGGGACUCAGUACCUUGGUCUGGUGGUCUUGUGUCCUCUGCACCUUGGUAAUGUGGAAUCAGG